Molecule: non-coding RNA, 175 nt
Organism: Erysipelothrix larvae
Lineage: Bacteria; Bacillati; Bacillota; Erysipelotrichia; Erysipelotrichales; Erysipelotrichaceae
Source: Rfam
UCCAUCGCGAGGUGGAAUCUGAAGGAAGUCUAAGGCAAAUCUCUGGUCCGACGAACAGAAAUCACAUAAAAGGCGACACUUGAGGGUAAGGCUGCAAAAGAAGUUGAAGCCCAAUAGUUACUGACAUAAUCAAGUGGUGUAAAUGUGGCGGAUAGAUAGAGAGGAAGAGUUUGUA